RNAcentral lists this transfer RNA (80 nucleotides) under Nitritalea halalkaliphila LW7. Its description in RNAcentral is "tRNA-OTHER". Lineage: Bacteria; Pseudomonadati; Bacteroidota; Cytophagia; Cytophagales; Cyclobacteriaceae. The record is from RNAcentral.
UCGGGUGUGGCGGCAKSCCGGUAGCCUUGUUACUGCAAUGGGGUUGCAAGUKGUCGCAGGUUCAAAUCCUGUCACCCGAC